CUCAUAUCCAAAAAGACUGCAAUGUGCGGCUGUUAGAACCCAGCUUUUGUCAAUAAUUGCUCCUCCACAUUGAUGGGUAAAAUUUACACCAGUUUUAAACUGAAGAGACGCCAUCCAUGGAUGAUCUUCUAUAUUGGCAUUGUCACCAUUGAUAAUCUUUACAAUUGCAGCAGCCGAAAAAGCCUGAAUUAUGAUAUAACAUUAAUUCUAAAUAUAUUCUUUAUCAAAUGUCAAGUAAAGAAUAUUUAUUUAUCGGAAAUGCCACAUUAUCUAUCGUUUUUGUGAAUGCGAUUAUACAAAUGUUAUAAUGAAAUCUCAAAAUUAUGACUAAUUCAUCAAAGC
Molecule: long non-coding RNA, 342 nt
Filed under: Mytilus galloprovincialis (Mediterranean mussel)
Lineage: Eukaryota; Metazoa; Mollusca; Bivalvia; Mytilida; Mytilidae
Source: RNAcentral